GGGAUAACACCUGGAAACAGAUGCUAAUACCGGAUAACAACACUAGACGCAUGUCUAGAGUUUGAAAGAUGGUUCUGCUAUCACUCUUGGAUGGACCUGCGGUGCAUUAGCUAGUUGGUAAGGUAACGGCUUACCAAGGCAAUGAUGCAUAGCCGAGUUGAGAGACUGAUCGGCCACAUUGGGACUGAGACACGGCCCAAACUCCUACGGGAGGCAGCAGUAGGGAAUCUUCCACAAUGGACGAAAGUCUGAUGGAGCAACGCCGCGUGAGUGAAGAAGGGUUUCGGCUCGUAAAGCUCUGUUGGUAGUGAAGAAAGAUAGAGGUAGUAACUGGCCUUUAUUUGACGGUAAUUACUUAGAAAGUCACGGCUAACUACGUGCCAGCAGCCGCGGUAAUACGUAGGUGGCAAGCGUUGUCCGGAUUUAUUGGGCGUAAAGCGAGUGCAGGCGGUUCAAUAAGUCUGAUGUGAAAGCCUUCGGCUCAACCGGAGAAUUGCAUCAGAAACUGUUGAACUUGAGUGCAGAAGAGGAGAGUGGAACUCCAUGUGUAGCGGUGGAAUGCGUAGAUAUAUGGAAGAACACCAGUGGCGAAGGCGGCUCUCUGGUCUGCAACUGACGCUGAGGCUCGAAAGCAUGGGUAGCGAACAGGAUUAGAUACCCUGGUAGUCCAUGCCGUAAACGAUGAGUACUAAGUGUUGG
This 699-nucleotide ribosomal RNA is filed under the name uncultured bacterium. RNAcentral describes it as "bacterial SSU rRNA". It matches the Rfam family "Bacterial small subunit ribosomal RNA", at positions 140 to 826 of the family's 1533-position model. The record is from RNAcentral.